Molecule: ribosomal RNA, 438 nt
Filed under: uncultured bacterium
Lineage: Bacteria
Description: bacterial SSU rRNA
Rfam family: Bacterial small subunit ribosomal RNA
Source: RNAcentral
CAGUGGGGAAUAUUGGACAAUGGGCGCAAGCCUGAUCCAGCCAUGCCGCGUGGGUGAAGAAGGCCUUCGGGUUGUAAAGCCCUUUUGUUGGGGAAGAAAUCGUACGGGGUAAUAUCCCGUGCGGAUGACGGUACCCAAAGAAUAAGCACCGGCUAACUUCGUGCCAGCAGCCGCGGUAAUACGAAGGGUGCAAGCGUUACUCGGAAUUACUGGGCGUAAAGCGUGCGUAGGCGGUUCGUUAAGUCUGUCGUGAAAGCCCUGGGCUCAACCUGGGAAUUGCGAUGGAUACUGGCGAGCUAGAGUACGGUAGAGGAUGGUGGAAUUCCCGGUGUAGCGGUGAAAUGCGUAGAGAUCGGGAGGAACACCCGUGGCGAAGGCGGCCAUCUGGACCAGUACUGACGCUGAGGCACGAAAGCGUGGGGAGCAAACAGGAUUAGA